This 433-nucleotide ribosomal RNA is filed under the name uncultured bacterium. RNAcentral describes it as "bacterial SSU rRNA". It matches the Rfam family "Bacterial small subunit ribosomal RNA", at positions 28 to 461 of the family's 1533-position model. The record is from RNAcentral.
GAUGAACGCUAGCGGCAGGCUUAACACAUGCAAGUCGAGGGGUAGAAGGAGCUUGCUCCUUUGAGACCGGCGCACGGGUGCGUAACGCGUAUGCAAUCUACCUUUUGCAGAGGGAUAGCCCAGAGAAAUUUGGAUUAAUACCUCAUAGUAUGUGAGGAUGGCAUCAUUUUCACAUUAAAGUCACAACGGCAAAAGAUGAGCAUGCGUCCCAUUAGCUAGUUGGUAAGGUAACGGCUUACCAAGGCUACGAUGGGUAGGGGUCCUGAGAGGGAGAUCCCCACACUGGUACUGAGACACGGACCAGACUCCUACGGGAGGCAGCAGUGAGGAAUAUUGGACAAUGGGCGGCAAGCCUGAUCCAGCCAUGCCGCGUGCAGGAUGACGGUCCUAUGGAUUGUAAACUGCUUUGUACAGGAAGAAACACUACUUCGUG